GUAGGUGAACCUGCGGAAGGAUCAUUGUCGAUACCUGCCCAGCAGAGAGACCCGCGAACAAGUUGCUAACCAUCGGGGGGCAAAGGGCGGUGGGGGCGUGAGCCCCUUCCUCCCCGACCCUCCCGUAAGGGGUCGGCCCCUCGUGGGAUCCGACCCGAAACAAAACCACCGGCGCGGUUGGCGCCAAGGAACUCACAACGGAAUGGGCGUGCCAUCGUCGCACCUUUGGUGCGGCGUCCGGCCGUCUCGAAGUCCGAAACUCAAUAACGACUCUCGGCAACGGAUAUCUCGGCUCUCGCAUCGAUGAAGAACGUAGCGAAAUGCGAUACUUGGUGUGAAUUGCAGAAUCCCGUGAACCAUCGAGUCUUUGAACGCAAGUUGCGCCCUAGGCCAUCAGGUUGAGGGCACGCCUGCCUGGGCGUCACGUAUCGCGUCGUCCACCCCUCCCUCGUCCACGUGACGAUGGAGCGCGGAUCGGAGAUUGGCCCCCCGUGCCGCAUCUGCGUGGUGCGGUCGGCCUAAAUACGAGUCCACGUGUGGCGAGCGUCACGACGAGUGGUGGUUGUAGCCACUUUGCCAUCAGCCAGGACGUCGUGUCCGCUUUUGUCCGCCUCACGGAGCUCUGACGUAACCCUUAUCGCGUGUCGUCUCACGACGGCAUCUUCGACCGCGACCCCAGGUCAGGCGGGGCUACCCGCUGAG
This 702-nucleotide ribosomal RNA is filed under the name Lambertia formosa. Its description in RNAcentral is "eukaryotic LSU rRNA". The stretch from base 269 to 424 matches the Rfam family "5.8S ribosomal RNA". Lineage: Eukaryota; Viridiplantae; Streptophyta; Magnoliopsida; Proteales; Proteaceae. The record is from RNAcentral.